RNAcentral lists this ribosomal RNA (490 nucleotides) under uncultured bacterium. Its description in RNAcentral is "partial 16S ribosomal RNA". It matches the Rfam family "Bacterial small subunit ribosomal RNA", at positions 30 to 507 of the family's 1533-position model. The record is from RNAcentral.
AUUGAACGCUGGCGGCAGGCCUAACACAUGCAAGUCGAACGGUAACAGGAAACAGCUUGCUGUUUCGCUGACGAGUGGCAGACGGGUGAGUAAUGUCUGGGAAACUGCCUGAUGGAGGGGGAUAACUACUGGAAACGGUAGCUAAUACCGCAUAACGUCGCAAGACCAAAGAGGGGGACCUUCGGGCCUCUUGCCAUCGGAUGUGCCCAGAUGGGAUUAGCUAGUAGGUGGGGUAACGGCUCACCUAGGCGACGAUCCCUAGCUGGUCUGAGAGGAUGACCAGCCACACUGGAACUGAGACACGGUCCAGACUCCUACGGGAGGCAGCAGUGGGGAAUAUUGCACAAUGGGCGCAAGCCUGAUGCAGCCAUGCCGCGUGUAUGAAGAAGGCCUUCGGGUUGUAAAGUACUUUCAGCGGGGAGGAAGGGAGUAAAGUUAAUACCUUUACUCAUUGACGUUACCCGCAGAAGAAGCACCGGCUAACUCCGUG